This 89-nucleotide transfer RNA is filed under the name Candidatus Dormiibacterota bacterium. RNAcentral describes it as "tRNA-Ser". It matches the Rfam family "tRNA". From Rfam's summary of the family: Transfer RNA (tRNA) molecules are approximately 80 nucleotides in length. Their secondary structure includes four short double-helical elements and three loops (D, anti-codon, and T loops). Further hydrogen bonds mediate the characteristic L-shaped molecular structure. tRNAs have two regions of fundamental functional importance: the anti-codon, which is responsible for specific mRNA codon recognition, and the 3' end, to which the tRNAs corresponding amino acid is attached (by aminoacyl-tRNA synthetases). tRNAs cope with the degeneracy of the genetic code in two manners: having more than one tRNA (with a specific anti-codon) for a particular amino acid; and 'wobble' base-pairing, i.e. permitting non-standard base-pairing at the 3rd anti-codon position. The record is from RNAcentral. RNAcentral also lists the same sequence under 2 other names. Lineage: Bacteria; Bacillati; Candidatus Dormiibacterota.
GGGGAGGUGGCAGAGUGGUCGAAUGCGAGCGCCUGCUAAGCGCUUGAUCGGGUGUUUCCGGUCCCCGGGUUCGAAUCCCGGCCUUCCCG